AUAAACGCUGGCGGCGUGCUUCAGGCAUGCAAGUCGAACGGUUCACAGGCUUCGGUCUGUGGAUAGUGGCGGACGGGUGAGUAACACGUAAGCAACCUGCCCAGAAGUGGGGAAUAACUGACCGAAAGGUUAGCUAAUACCGCAUGUGAUGGCACUUCCCUGGAGGUGUCAUUAAAGGCUUCGGCCGCUUCUGGAGGGGCUUGCGGUCGAUUAGCUAGUUGGUGGGGUAAUGGCCUACCAAGGCUACGAUCGAUAGCUGGUCUGAGAGGACGGACAGCCACACGGGGACUGAGAUACGGCCCCGACUCCUACGGGAGGCAGCAGCUAGGAAUCUUGGGAAUGGGCGAAAGCCUGACCCAGCAACGCCGCGUGGGCGAUGAAGGCCUUCGGGUCGUAAAGCCCUUUUGUGAGGGAAGAUGAUGACGGUACCUCACGAAUAAGCCACGGCUAACUACGU
Molecule: ribosomal RNA, 457 nt
Filed under: uncultured bacterium
Lineage: Bacteria
Description: bacterial SSU rRNA
Rfam family: Bacterial small subunit ribosomal RNA
Source: RNAcentral